Molecule: ribosomal RNA, 284 nt
Filed under: Escherichia coli
Lineage: Bacteria; Pseudomonadati; Pseudomonadota; Gammaproteobacteria; Enterobacterales; Enterobacteriaceae
Description: partial 23S ribosomal RNA
Rfam family: Bacterial large subunit ribosomal RNA
Source: RNAcentral
UCAGAAGUGCGAAUGCUGACAUAAGUAACGAUAAAGCGGGUGAAAAGCCCGCUCGCCGGAAGACCAAGGGUUCCUGUCCAACGUUAAUCGGGGCAGGGUGAGUCGACCCCUAAGGCGAGGCCGAAAGGCGUAGUCGAUGGGAAACAGGUUAAUAUUCCUGUACUUGGUGUUACUGCGAAGGGGGGACGGAGAAGGCUAUGUUGGCCGGGCGACGGUUGUCCCGGUUUAAGCGUGUAGGCUGGUUUUCCAGGCAAAUCCGGAAAAUCAAGGCUGAGGCGUGAUGA